Molecule: ribosomal RNA, 404 nt
Filed under: uncultured bacterium
Lineage: Bacteria
Description: bacterial SSU rRNA
Rfam family: Bacterial small subunit ribosomal RNA
Source: RNAcentral
UGAGGAAUCUUGCGCAAUGGGGGAAACCCUGACGCAGCAACGCCGCGUGGAGGAAGACGGCCUUCGGGUUGUAAACUCCUUUUAUUUGGGACGAACAUUGACGGUACCAAACGAAUAAGGACUGGCUAACCAUGUGCCAGCAGCCGCGGUAAUACAUGGAGUCCAAGCGUUACCCGGAUUUACUGGGCGUAAAGCGUCCGUAGGUGGUGCAUCAAGUUUCUGGUGAAAUCUCACUGCUCAACGGUGAAACCGUCAGAAAUACUGGUGCGCUUGAGUACGGCAGAGGUAGAUGGAAUUCCUGGUGUAGGGGUAAAAUCCGUUGAUAUCAGGAAGAACACCAGUGGCGAAGGCGAUCUACUGGGCCGUUACUGACACUGAGGGACGAAAGCGUGGGGAGCGAACGG